RNAcentral lists this ribosomal RNA (450 nucleotides) under uncultured bacterium. RNAcentral describes it as "partial 16S ribosomal RNA". It matches the Rfam family "Bacterial small subunit ribosomal RNA", at positions 354 to 796 of the family's 1533-position model. The record is from RNAcentral.
GUGGGGAAUAUUGGACAAUGGGCGAAAGCCUGAUCCAGCCAUGCCGCGUGUGUGAAGAAGGUCUUCGGAUUGUAAAGCACUUUAAGUUGGGAGGAAGGGCAGUAAGUUAAUACCUUGCUGUUUUGACGUUACCGACAGAAUAAGCACCGGCUAACUUCGUGCCAGCAGCCGCGGUAAUACGAAGGGUGCAAGCGUUAAUCGGAAUUACUGGGCGUAAAGCGCGCGUAGGUGGUUUUGUAAGUUGGAGGUGAAAUCCCCGGGCUCAACCUGGGAACUGACUACAAAACUGCAUGACUAGAGUACGGUAGAGGGUAGUGGAAUGUCCUGUGUAGCGGUGAAAUGCGUAGAUAUAGGAAGGAACACCAGUGGCGAAGGCGACUACCUGGACUGAUACUGACACUGAGGUGCGAAAGCGUGGGGAGCAAACAGGAUUAGAAACCCCGGUAGUCC